This 486-nucleotide ribosomal RNA is filed under the name uncultured bacterium. RNAcentral describes it as "partial 16S ribosomal RNA". It matches the Rfam family "Bacterial small subunit ribosomal RNA", at positions 30 to 507 of the family's 1533-position model. The record is from RNAcentral.
AUUGAACGCUGGCGGCAUGCCUUACACAUGCAAGUCGAACGGCAGCACGGGUGCUUGCACCUGGUGGCGAGUGGCGAACGGGUGAGUAAUACAUCGGAACAUGUCCUGUAGUGGGGGAUAGCCCGGCGAAAGCCGGAUUAAUACCGCAUACGAUCUACGGAUGAAAACGGGGGACCUUCGGGCCUCGCGCUAUAGGGUUGGCCGAUAGCUGAUUAGCUAGUUGGUGGGGUAAAGGCCUACCAAGGCGACGAUCAGUAGCUGGUCUGAGAGGACGACCAGCCACACUGGGACUGAGACACGGCCCAGACUCCUACGGGAGGCAGCAGUGGGGAAUUUUGGACAAUGGGCGAAAGCCUGAUCCAGCAAUGCCGCGUGUGUGAAGAAGGCCUUCGGGUUGUAAAGCACUUUUGUCCGGAAAGAAAUCCUUGGCUCUAAUACAGUCGGGGGAUGACGGUACCGGAAGAAUAAGCACCGGCUAACUACGUG